AUGAGCAAAGCGAGAAGAUCUGCAAAGGAGAUCCUAAUUCUGAGGUCUUGGCUGUAAAUGAAAGAUUGAAAAGAUCAAAGGAGAAGGUUAGGAGUAAAUCUAAGGGCAGAUCAAAAUCUCAGGAUAGGAAGAAGACCUUGAAGUGUUACAAGUGUUAUCAGCCUAGACAUCUAAGGAGAAAUUAUCCUCUUUUAAAAUCA
RNAcentral lists this long non-coding RNA (200 nucleotides) under Elaeis guineensis (African oil palm). RNAcentral's name for it is "long non-coding RNA (EGUI_LNC051207)". The record is from RNAcentral. Lineage: Eukaryota; Viridiplantae; Streptophyta; Magnoliopsida; Arecales; Arecaceae.